GAAUUGCCAUUGAUACUGUUGUUCUUGAGUUAUUGUGAAGUGGUUAGAAUGAGUAGUGUAGCGGUGAAAUGCAUAGAUAUUACUCAGAAUACCGAUUGCGAAGGCAGAUCACUAACAAUGAACUGACGCUGAUGGACGAAAGCGUAGGUAGCGAACAGGAUUAGAUACCCUGGUAGUCUACGCCGUAAACGAUGGUUACUAGCUGUUCGGGUUAAUUGAGACCUGAGUGGCUAAGCGAAAGUGAUAAGUAACCCACCUGGGGAGUACGUUCGCAAGAAUGAAACUCAAAGGAAUUGACGGGGGCCCGCACAAGCGGUGGAGCAUGUGGUUUAAUUCGAUGAUACGCGAGGAACCUUACCAGGGCUUAAAUGCAUUUUGACAGGGGUGGAAACAC
This 394-nucleotide ribosomal RNA is filed under the name uncultured bacterium. Its description in RNAcentral is "bacterial SSU rRNA". It matches the Rfam family "Bacterial small subunit ribosomal RNA", at positions 618 to 1009 of the family's 1533-position model. The record is from RNAcentral.